Molecule: transfer RNA, 34 nt
Filed under: Dorstenia psilurus
Lineage: Eukaryota; Viridiplantae; Streptophyta; Magnoliopsida; Rosales; Moraceae
Description: partial transfer RNA-Phe
Source: RNAcentral
UCGGGAUAGCUCAGCUGAAGAGCAGAGGACUGAA